Non-coding RNA from Rhamnusium bicolor, 79 nucleotides. The record is from the annotation of a GenBank genome assembly. NCBI's taxonomy places the organism in Eukaryota, Metazoa, Arthropoda, Insecta, Coleoptera, Cerambycidae.
GUUAAACCGCUCAGUGGUUCAGAGCUUAUAUGUUUGGUUUGAAACCAAGGGGUCCCCGGUUCGAAUCCCGGUUAAAGCA